Cricetulus griseus (Chinese hamster) is the source of this 1188-nucleotide non-coding RNA. Lineage: Eukaryota; Metazoa; Chordata; Mammalia; Rodentia; Cricetidae. The record is from RefSeq and is a predicted model, not a curated record.
AGGGCCUAAAUAAAUCCAGGAACUGAUACAAUUUUCCAUUUGUUCUGGCCAAGACUGGAGCCCUGAAACCUUCACAUAAACCCCAGGCCUUGCUUCUCUUGCCACAGCAGUGUACCUAAGCAAAGAUCCAUCGCCUUUUGUCUUGCUCUCUCCAGGAUAGCUCACAACCCUCUAGUUUUGCUGGUAAAUCACCUUGUAUUUUAGGGAUUUUUAUUCUCUGAUCAAAUUAAUCUCUUCUCAGCAUGCCUCAGAACACUUCCUGGCUGUGGCUUUUGGAAUGAUUUUGUCUAUUGAAUUACAUGGAAAAAAGCCAAGAUGUUAGGAUCGGUUUCGUUUUCCUGGAAACUGGUGUAGUUCCCAGAACUGUGUAUCCCCCACAGAGCUCCACCCGCUGGCGGCCUUCUGAGGCAGGCAUUCGGUCACUGAGUUGUUCAGACAGGCCUUGAACUCUCUCUGCAGCUCAGCAGGAUUACCUGAGCUCAGCCUAAGGUUUGGCCGUGGGUCUCUGCAUCUGUUUCCCUCAGUUACUGGAUGAAGGCUCUCUGAUGACAAUUGGAGUAGUCUCCAGUCUGAUCAUAGGAGAUAAGUUCAUACAUCCCCUCUUGUUAAGAGACUUUCUUCAGAGGCACAGCUAUUCAGCUACAAGAAAGCUGAAUGAAUCAUCCUUGUAGAUUCAUGGGAGUUUCUCUGGCAUCGGGUUUCUACCUCAACUCCAAAUGUCCCCAAUUCCAGUCAUCUCUUUCAGUAUUCUCCCCUUCCACGUACCACCCAACCUAACUCCUCAAGUUCCUAUCCCUACCUGCCCUCAGUCCUGGUGGUUUUUCUUAACCAUAUUGGGUUAUACCAAAGCCAAUUACAAUGAAGAUGGAGUCAGUUAUAACUAGUUGUUUUAUUUCUUUAUAAUGUGUUGUUAUUUGUUGCUUUUUAUUUUGUCACAGAAGGAAAAAACAUAAUUGCAAAAUAAAGCCCUCCCCCCAAUGAAGUCGGUGCCAUGGCAUCUUCAGUCAGCUAUUGGACUCAUUUGGAUGGCAGGUUGUGGCUGCAGCAGCAGCAGCAGCAAUGGACGAAACUGAUCUCUACCGCCCCCUGGUGACUAUACGAAAGUGCUGCGAGAAGAACCUCAGUGCCUUUCCCGAAAUUGCCAACGAUGUCAAAUGUAAUUCUACUUCUUCGGCAUCAUUUCCACCC